Long non-coding RNA from Glycine soja, 1146 nucleotides. RefSeq lists it as uncharacterized. The record is from RefSeq and is a predicted model, not a curated record. The transcript is spliced from 3 exons. NCBI's taxonomy places the organism in Eukaryota, Viridiplantae, Streptophyta, Magnoliopsida, Fabales, Fabaceae.
UUGCAUUUUUUAUGUGCUAGGGUUUCUGCAUCUUCCACCUCCGUGGCAAUGAAAUCAGGCUUCAUCUGAUUCUGAUUCCCUUUCGCUCCUUCUCCUCCUUAACCUUCAUCUUCCACCUCGUGUGUGUGAUGGAUGACUUAAUUGCGUGACGAAGUCCCUUUCUAAAUUCAGAGAGAACUCGGUGAAAUCACCGAAAUAAGUUGGAGUGAAACUCCGAACGCCAUUUGGGAGCAAGACAGAGUCCUUCAGUUCUUCGAUGACGCCGCUGAUGUUGAAGAGAGCGAUUUCAACGACGAUGAUGGUGAUUUUGAUUUUUCUAAUGACGAAUCAAAUGUCACACCAAGACAGAUGCACAUGCACAUGCGAGAUAAAGGCAAGAGUAGCCUCCUGUGUGUCAUCUGUAAAGAGGAAAUGGUGGAUGAAGAAUUUUGAAGGAGCACUACAAAGAUCCAUCAGGUUUAUCAAAUUGGUGAUGAUAAUGGGAUGGACCCAAGUUCUAUACAAAAAGGUGUCGGUGAAUUAAUGCCAUACAUUUGGAAAGUCAAAUGCACUGUUGGGCAGGAGAGGCUUUCAGCUCUUUGUUUGAUGCAAAAGUUUGUUGACUUGGAUUCAUUGUGUACUAAAUUAUAGAUAAAAUCUACAUUUGUUGUAGAUCAUAUGAAAAGAUUUGUGUACAUUGAAGUCGAAAAAUAGUAUGAUAUAAAUGAGGUAACCUCUGUACUAGGUAUUUUCAUUAAUGGUUCAAGGCUAAGCACAUUCCUUUAAUGGUUCAAGGCUCUCAUGAUUCAUGAUAUCAAAAUAUAUUAUGAAGCAGAAAAGAAAUUUGCGAGCUUUACUUGACGGCUUCUCGUACUUAAGAGGGCAGGUGCUAAAGAGUGCAAAUAAGGUAGCAUAAUAACAAUGGUGAAUUUUGUCUUGUACAAUUAUAACAGUGGUUAAUCAGUACUACUUUAAUCAACUGGUGAUAAUUUAUGUUUUUCAAUGUUGUUAUUUCUCAUUGUAGAUUAUCUACAAAUAAUUACAUGUGGAUGGCCAGGGUUGGUCUCUAUCCAUUUAGAGAUUUGUUAAUUUUCCCUGUUUAGAAACACUUAGCUCAUAACAUGGUCAUUACUAAUAAGGUGGAGCCAUGGUAUGGAACUGUAUAUU